UACGUAGGUGACAAGCGUUGUCCGGAUUUACUGGGCGUAAAGAGCGCGCAGGCGGUCGUUCAAGUCGAGUGUGAAAGCCCCCGGCUCAACUGGGGAGGGUCAUUCGAUACUGAUCGACUCGAAGGCAGGAGAGGGAAGUGGAAUUCCCGGUGUAGUGGUGAAAUGCGUAGAUAUCGGGAGGAACACCAGUGGCGAAGGCGGGUCUCUGGACAGUUCCUGACGCUGAGGCACGAAGGCCAGGGGAGCAAACGGG
Molecule: ribosomal RNA, 253 nt
Filed under: uncultured bacterium
Lineage: Bacteria
Description: partial 16S ribosomal RNA
Rfam family: Bacterial small subunit ribosomal RNA
Source: RNAcentral